AUGAAACCGAACAAGAGCUCAGAUUGUAACGACAGCACCAGGUGGCCCCGCUCACCACAUAGGGAUUGGGGACUCUGGAGGAGGAGGACAAAGAGGGGACUCUGGAGGAGGAGGACAAAGAGGGGACUCUGGAGGAGGAGGACGAGGAAGGGACUCUGGAGGAGGACGAUGAGGAAGGGACUCUGGAGGACGACGACGAGAAAGGAAACCUCACUUAGCAAUAAAAACAAUUCUGAUUUUAAUACUUUAAUACUAAUAAUAAGGGCCUGGGGUCUCAUUUAUCAAACAUUGCGUAGAAUCCUUACUAAAACCGUAUUUAAGCUCAGCAAAAAAAAUGUACUUAUGCCAAGUAGGUUUGUGAUCUAUCAAACAUGGAGUACGCACAGCUGCACGCAAUCUCCGCUUCCUAAAUCGGAGACUAACAAGAAUGUUUCUCAGCUACAUUUUAGUCACAUCCCACCCUCACCAUGCCCACUUACUGCCAUAAAUAGUCAAUGCAAAGUGCCUUGUGGAUCUCAUGCAUAUACAUAA
This 531-nucleotide long non-coding RNA is filed under the name Nothobranchius furzeri (turquoise killifish). Its description in RNAcentral is "lncRNA (ENSNFUG00015008993.1)". Lineage: Eukaryota; Metazoa; Chordata; Actinopteri; Cyprinodontiformes; Nothobranchiidae. The record is from RNAcentral.